RNAcentral lists this ribosomal RNA (473 nucleotides) under uncultured bacterium. RNAcentral describes it as "bacterial SSU rRNA". It matches the Rfam family "Bacterial small subunit ribosomal RNA", at positions 38 to 484 of the family's 1533-position model. The record is from RNAcentral.
GGGGGGGGCAUGCCUAACACAUGCAAGUCGAACGGUAGCAGGUAAAGUGAUCCCUUCGGGGUGAUCUUGGCGCUGACGAGUGGCGGACGGGUGAGUAAUGCGUAGGAAUCUACCCUUAAGUGGGGGAUAGCCCGGAGAAAUCCGGAUUAAUACCGCAUGUGCUCUACGGAGCAAAGCGGGCCUCUGUUUCAAGCUCGCGCUUGAGGAUGAGCCUACGUCGGAUUAGCUUGUUGGUGGGGUAAAGGCCUACCAAGGCGACGAUCCGUAGCUGGUCUGAGAGGAUGAUCAGCCACACUGGGACUGAGACACGGCCCAGACUCCUACGGGAGGCAGCAGUGGGGAAUAUUGGACAAUGGGCGAAAGCCUGAUCCAGCAAUGCCGCUGUGUGUGAAGAAGGCCUGCGGGUUGUAAAGCACUUUUAUCGGGAAAGAAAAUCACAGGGUUAAUACCCCUGUGCCUUGACGGACCCGUAA